RNAcentral lists this long non-coding RNA (297 nucleotides) under Musa acuminata (dwarf banana). RNAcentral's name for it is "long non-coding RNA (MACU_LNC005999)". Lineage: Eukaryota; Viridiplantae; Streptophyta; Magnoliopsida; Zingiberales; Musaceae. The record is from RNAcentral.
CCACGGAAGGUUGGCGGGGUUGCGGUUGGAGACGACCUUGAUGACCUUGCCGUCGACCGAGAUGGCGGAGUCACCCUCGGGCUUGACGUUGGCUUCGAAGAUGCCGAGGGUGGAGUCGUACUUGAGGAGGUGGGAGGCCUGCUUGACGCCUCCGGUGUCGUUGAUGGCCACCACGUCCAGGGGCGAGUCCUUGCGCCCGUGCCAGCACCGCAGGAAGUUGCGCCCGAUGCGGCCGAACCCGUUGAUGGCCACCUUUACCUUCGCCUCCGCCGCGCCCUUCCGGUACCCUCCGCUGCU